GACGAACGCUGGCGGCGUGCUUAACACAUGCAAGUCGAGCGGUAAGGCCCUUUCGGGGGUACACGAGCGGCGAACGGGUGAGUAACACGUGGGUGACCUGCCCUCAGCUCUGGGAUAAGCCUGGGAAACCGGGUCUAAUACCGGAUAUGACUCCAUGACGCAUGUUGUGGGGUGGAAAGCCUUGUGCGGCUGAGGAUGGGCCCGCGGCCUAUCAGCUUGUUGGUGGGGUGAUGGCCUACCAAGGCGACGACGGGUAGCCGGCCUGAGAGGGCGACCGGCCACACUGGGACUGAGACACGGCCCAGACUCCUACGGGAGGCAGCAGGUGGGGAAUCUUGCGCAAUGGGACGAAAGCCUGACGCAGCGACGCCGCGUGAGGGA
RNAcentral lists this ribosomal RNA (381 nucleotides) under uncultured bacterium. RNAcentral's name for it is "bacterial SSU rRNA". It matches the Rfam family "Bacterial small subunit ribosomal RNA", at positions 28 to 408 of the family's 1533-position model. The record is from RNAcentral.